Molecule: ribosomal RNA, 420 nt
Filed under: bacterium
Lineage: Bacteria
Also listed under: 1 other name
Description: partial 16S ribosomal RNA
Rfam family: Bacterial small subunit ribosomal RNA
Source: RNAcentral
UGGGGGAUAUUGCACAAUGGGCGAAAGCCUGAUGCAGCGACGCCGCGUGGGGGAUGAAGGCUUUCGGGUUGUAAACCUCUUUCGCUAUCGAACAAGGCCCGCUUAGGGUGGGUUGAGGGUAGGUGGAGAAGAAGCGCCGGCUAACUACGUGCCAGCAGCCGCGGUAAUACGUAGGGCGCGAGCGUUGUCCGGAAUUAUUGGGCGUAAAGGGCUUGUAGGCGGCUUGUUGCGCCUGCUGUGAAAACGCGGGGCUUAACUUCGCGCGCGCAGUGGGUACGGGCAGGCUUGAGUGUGGUAGGGGUGACUGGAAUUCCAGGUGUAGCGGUGGAAUGCGCAGAUAUCUGGAGGAACACCGAUGGCGAAGGCAGGUCACUGGGCCAUUACUGACGCUGAGGAGCGAAAGCAUGGGUAGCGAACAGG